This 253-nucleotide ribosomal RNA is filed under the name uncultured bacterium. RNAcentral describes it as "partial 16S ribosomal RNA". It matches the Rfam family "Bacterial small subunit ribosomal RNA", at positions 524 to 776 of the family's 1533-position model. The record is from RNAcentral.
UACGUAGGGUGCAAGCGUUGUCCGGAAUUAUUGGGCGUAAAGAGCUCGUAGGCGGUUCGUCGCGUCGGCUGUGAAAACCCGAGGCUCAACCUCGGGCCUGCAGUCGAUACGGGCGGACUGGAGUUCGGCAGGGGAGACUGGAAUUCCUGGUGUAGCGGUGAAAUGCGCAGAUAUCAGGAGGAACACCGGUGGCGAAGGCGGGUCUCUGGGCCGAAAUUGACGCUGAGGAGCGAAAGCGUGGGGAGCAAACAGG